GGUAACAGGGAGCUUGCUCCGCUGACGAGUGGCGAACGGGUGAGUAAUAUAUCGGAACGUACCCAGAAGUGGGGGAUAACGUAGCGAAAGUUACGCUAAUACCGCAUACGAUCCACGGAUGAAAGUAGGGGACCUUCGGGCCUUAUGCUUUUGGAGCGGCCGAUAUCUGAUUAGCUAGUUGGUGAGGUAAAGGCUCACCAAGGCGACGAUCAGUAGCUGGUCUGAGAGGACGACCAGCCACACUGGAACUGAGACACGGUCCAGACUCCUACGGGAGGCAGCAGUGGGGAAUUUUGGACAAUGGGCGCAAGCCUGAUCCAGCAAUGCCGCGUGAGUGAAGAAGGCCUUCGGGUUGUAAAGCUCUUUUGUCAGGGAAGAAACGGGUGUGGCUAAUAUCCACGGCUAAUGACGGUACCUGAAGAAUAAGCACCGGCUAACU
This 439-nucleotide ribosomal RNA is filed under the name Massilia sp. RNAcentral describes it as "bacterial SSU rRNA". It matches the Rfam family "Bacterial small subunit ribosomal RNA", at positions 68 to 502 of the family's 1533-position model. The record is from RNAcentral. Lineage: Bacteria; Pseudomonadati; Pseudomonadota; Betaproteobacteria; Burkholderiales; Oxalobacteraceae.